GAAUUAAUUAAAGCCAUUUUACUUCUCUUGUCCAGAAUAAGCAUUGAAAAGGACAGCUUGUCAUUAGUUGUUUAAACCCCCUUCAUCAUUUUGAAGACAGUAAUGAAAUGUCCAGUCAGCCCCUUUUCUCUAACUUAAAGUUCUUUUAGCUUUCCCUCAAGGACCUAUUCCUUUUCAAUUUUUAGAUGCUGUUCGGAAAGACCAGGAGCCCUCUCUGAACCGCUUCAUUACAUCUGUACCUCAAACCUAAUGAAGAGGAAUGCUGAUCCAGUUGGUGGGACUCACAUGGACUGAACUUUAAGAAUCAUAUUCAUUGAAAUUUGAGCAAAUUACCAGUAGAUGAUGGCCUUGCGACUUUUCCACAGGUAGGACUUUUAGACUAGCUUCAUUUUUUUAAGAUGAUAAACUUUAUGCUGCCAAAUACUGAAUAACUGUACAUUGAGUGAUUAUAAAAUUA
Molecule: long non-coding RNA, 457 nt
Filed under: Piliocolobus tephrosceles (Ugandan red Colobus)
Lineage: Eukaryota; Metazoa; Chordata; Mammalia; Primates; Cercopithecidae
Description: lncRNA (ENSPTEG00000027869.1)
Source: RNAcentral